AGUGAACGCUGGCGGCGUGCCUAAUACAUGCAAGUCGAACGAUGAAGUCCUAGCUUGCUAGGACGGAUUAGUGGCGCACGGGUGAGUAAUGUAUAGCUAAUCUGCCCCAUAGAGAGGAACAACACUUAGAAAUGAGUGCUAAUACCUCAUACUCCUAUUUUGCAUAAGUUUAAUAGGGAAAGUCUUUUCGCUAUGGGAUGAGGCUAUAUUGUAUCAGCUAGUUGGUGAGGUAAUGGCUCACCAAGGCUUUGACGCAUAACUGGUCUGAGAGGAUGAUCAGUCACAUUGGAACUGAGACACGGUCCAAACUCCUACGGGAGGCAGCAGUAGGGAAUAUUGCUCAAUGGGGGAAACCCUGAAGCAGCAACGCCGCGUGGAGGAUGACACUUUUCGGAGCGUAAACUCCUUUUGUUGGGGAAGAACAAUGACGGUACCCAACGAAUAAGCACCGGCUAACUCCGUGCCAGCAGCCGCGGUAAUACGGAGGGUGCAAGCGUUACUCGGAAUCACUGGGCGUAAAGGACGCGUAGGUGGAUAGAUAAGUCUCUUGUGAAAUCUAGUAGCUUAACUACUAAACUGCUUGGGAAACUAUUUAUCUAGAGUAAGGGAGAGGCAGAUGGAAUUCUUGGUGUAGGGGUAAAAUCCGUAGAUAUCAAGAGGAAUACUUAUUGCGAAGGCGAUCUGCUAGAACUUAACUGACACUAAUGCGUGAAAGCGUGGGGAGCAAACAGGAUUAGAUACCCUGGUAGUCCACGCCCUAAACGAUGUAUACUGGUUGUUGCUAUGCUAGUCAUGGCAGUAAUCCACCUAACGGAUUAAGUAUACCGCCUGGGGAGUACGGUCGCAAGAUUAAAACUCAAAGGAAUAGACGGGGACCCGCACAAGCGGUGGAGCAUGUGGUUUAAUUCGAAGAUACGCGAAGAACCUUACCCGGACUUGAUAUCUAACAAAUCAUCCAGAGAUGGAAGAGUGUCUGCUUGCAGAAAUGUUAAGACAGGUGCUGCACGGCUGUCGUCAGCUCGUGUCGUGAGAUGUUGGGUUAAGUCCCGCAACGAGCGCAACCCACGUGUUUAGUUGCUAACAGUUAGGCUGAGCACUCUAAACAGACUGCCUUCGUAAGGAGGAGGAAGGUGUGGACGACGUCAAGUCAUCAUGGCCCUUAUGUCCGGGGCGACAUACGUGCUACAAUGGCAUAUACAAUGAGAAGCAAUAUCGCGAGAUGGAGCAAAUCUAUAAAAUAUGUCUUAGUUCGGAUUGGAGUCUGCAACUCGACUCCAUGAAGCCGGAAUCGCUAGUAAUCGUAGAUCAGCCAUGCUACGGUGAAUACGUUCCCGGGUCU
This 1339-nucleotide ribosomal RNA is filed under the name uncultured bacterium. RNAcentral describes it as "bacterial SSU rRNA". It matches the Rfam family "Bacterial small subunit ribosomal RNA", at positions 28 to 1381 of the family's 1533-position model. The record is from RNAcentral.